The sequence is a transfer RNA, 93 nucleotides long. It matches the Rfam family "tRNA". From Rfam's summary of the family: Transfer RNA (tRNA) molecules are approximately 80 nucleotides in length. Their secondary structure includes four short double-helical elements and three loops (D, anti-codon, and T loops). The record is from Rfam.
GCAGGGAUGGCCUAGUGGUUAUGGCGACUGUCUUACAAAUCUCUCCGAGAUUUCGCGCACAGUAGGUCGCGGGUUCAAACCCCGCUCCUUGUA